UGAGUAAUCGUGGGCAACAUGCCUGUAAGACUGGGAUAACACCGGGAAACCGGUGCUAAUACCGGAUAAUCCUUUUCCUCUCAUGAGGAAAAGCUGAAAGACGGUUUCGGCUGACACUUACAGAUGGGCCCGCGGCGCAUUAGCUAGUUGGUGAUGUAACGGCUCACCAAGGCGAGGACGCCUAUCCGACCUGAUAGGGUGACCGGCCACA
RNAcentral lists this ribosomal RNA (211 nucleotides) under Neobacillus drentensis. RNAcentral's name for it is "Bacillus drentensis partial 16S ribosomal RNA". It matches the Rfam family "Bacterial small subunit ribosomal RNA", at positions 107 to 312 of the family's 1533-position model. Lineage: Bacteria; Bacillati; Bacillota; Bacilli; Caryophanales; Bacillaceae. The record is from RNAcentral.